Oryzias melastigma (Indian medaka) is the source of this 333-nucleotide long non-coding RNA. RefSeq lists it as uncharacterized. NCBI's taxonomy places the organism in Eukaryota, Metazoa, Chordata, Actinopteri, Beloniformes, Adrianichthyidae. The transcript has 3 exons. The record is from RefSeq and is a predicted model, not a curated record.
CCCGGUUGCAAGCGUGAAAAAGGAUUUCGAUUGUACAUUUCAAGUUACAUCCACAACUUUGAAGGUGGGUCUGAAGGAUUCCAUCCCCGUUGAGCUGGCCCAUCACAGCUGUACAUGUGUAGCUGGAUCAGUGCUCUGUAACCAUUGUGUGGCUCUACUUUUCUACAUUAUUCUCAGCUUGACAUUCCAGUUGUUCCACCAGUGUUGAGCUGUACGGAGAGUGAACAACAGUGGCACAAGCCAAGAACCUCGGGUGUUAAACCAGGUCCCGUCGAGAAGAUGGCUGUGAUGUCUGCCAAACCAUGUGAUGUGAUGCAAAAAAUAAGAGAGAGC